Pezoporus occidentalis (night parrot) is the source of this 1160-nucleotide long non-coding RNA. RefSeq lists it as uncharacterized. The transcript is spliced from 3 exons. The record is from RefSeq and is a predicted model, not a curated record. NCBI's taxonomy places the organism in Eukaryota, Metazoa, Chordata, Aves, Psittaciformes, Psittacidae.
CUCCAGAGGUGAUGCUCUUGAGCUUAUCAACCUUCCUGCAACCAGCUAAAGGUGUGCAUCUACCACUGUGAGAGGAGGAACACGUAUGCUUUAGGAAAGGACCCCUGUGGUAAGAAUGACAAGCUUAGGCUAUGAGCCAGGGUUUAUACAGUUGUUUCUGAAAUUGGUUUUGAAAGCACGUGACAAUAGAAACUUGAUUACGGGACUGUACCUCCUUGUCCUGGAGGGAAAGAAACCCCACUUGGUUAUUGUAGAGGUGGUUCACCUGAAGGUAAAGACACCGCCUGGAAUAAUCUGCAGAUUGGUGUUUCUGUUUGUUGAUGCCAUAUUAAACAGAAUAACCAAGCGUGCUGAAGUGCUGACCCUUGAGUUUUUCCUCAUGACCACAAGGACAAGGAAAACGCUCACUCUUCAGAAUGGGGCUCCCAUUCUCAGGCAAUCAAGUGGAGCUGGGGGCCAGGAAAAUGUGGAAUUCUGCAGUGCCCACAGCGUGAUGCCAGAGCUGCAGCAGUGAGCACAGCAAGGAUGCCAGAGCUCCAGUUUUCACAUGAGGAGGAAAGACCAAGGUGAUCACAAGGCUGUGCAGAAGUGGUGGGUGAUGGCUUCCCCCUCUCCUCCUGAAUGCAGGACUGACCUAGGAGGACUUUUGCCUUCAAAGGCAGAAAGCUCUCUUCUGGGGACUGCUGGAUCAGCCCAUGUUGAUCCACUGGUUGGAGCAUCCUGACAAAAGGCUGGUGGCAUGAUGGGCUAUUGAGGGCCGUCACUUCAGUUCAUCAUGAAAGCAGUGAGCUGGAGCAAAGGUCAUGCCCUGCCAAGCCUGGCCUGUUUGCCACUGAAAUCCCCACCAGCAACUGUUCCUUUAAUGAUCUUUGUGACAGGCAGAGAGAGUACCAUUGUUUGCUUAGUUUGCUUUAGAAAUAGGCUUCUAAAUUUGCAAAUGACAGUUUGUUGUGUGUCUGAAAUUGGGUGCCCUGGGGUGUACCAGAGCACCAGUAACCGCAAAUGUGGCACAAGCUCGUGGGGACAUGGGAAGUGGCAGCACUAGGGAUGUUAAUGUGAUUAAAUUGUGUACAACUCAAUUAACUUCUCUUUUCCUCCCAUGGUAGGUGGCAGACCCAGUUGGUCGCAGGCUGCUGGAUGGAGCUGUCGCAUCCAAGGUC